This 485-nucleotide ribosomal RNA is filed under the name uncultured bacterium. Its description in RNAcentral is "bacterial SSU rRNA". It matches the Rfam family "Bacterial small subunit ribosomal RNA", at positions 30 to 507 of the family's 1533-position model. The record is from RNAcentral.
AUUGAACGCUGGCGGCAUGCCUUACACAUGCAAGUCGAAACGGCAGCACGGGAGCAAUCCUGGUGGCGAGUGGCGAACGGGUGAGUAAUAUAUCGGAACGUGCCCGGUCGUGGGGGAUAACGUAGCGAAAGCUACGCUAAUACCGCAUACGAUCUACGGAUGAAAGCGGGGGAUCGCAAGACCUCGCGCGAUUGGAGCGGCCGAUAUCAGAUUAGGUAGUUGGUGAGGUAAAGGCUCACCAAGCCGACGAUCUGUAGCUGGUCUGAGAGGACGACCAGCCACACUGGGACUGAGACACGGCCCAGACUCCUACGGGAGGCAGCAGUGGGGAAUUUUGGACAAUGGGCGCAAGCCUGAUCCAGCAAUGCCGCGUGCAGGAUGAAGGCCUUCGGGUUGUAAACUGCUUUUGUACGGAACGAAACGGUGAGCUCUAAUACAGUUUGCUAAUGACGGUACCGUAAGAAUAAGCACCGGCUAACUACGUG